CGAAGAGUAGGGCGGGACACGUGGUAUCCUGUCUGAAUAUGGGGGGACCAUCCUCCAAGGCUAAAUACUCCUGACUGACCGAUAGUGAACCAGUACCGUGAGGGAAAGGCGAAAAGAACCCCGGCGAGGGGAGUGAAAAAGAACCUGAAACCGUGUACGUACAAGCAGUGGGAGCACCUUCGGGUGUGACUGCGUACCUUUUGUAUAAUGGGUCAGCGACUUAUAUUCUGUAGCAAGGUUAACCGUAUAGGGGAGCCGCAGGGAAACCGAGUCUUAACUGGGCGUUAAGUUGCAGGGUAUAGACCCGAAACCCGGUGAUCUAGCCAUGGGCAGGUUGAAGGUUGGGUAACACUAACUGGAGGACCGAACCGACUAAUGUUGAAAAAUUAGCGGAUGACUUGUGGCUGGGGGUGAAAGGCCAAUCAAACCGGGAGAUAGCUGGUUCUCCCCGAAAGCUAUUUAGGUAGCGCCUCGUGAACUCAUCUUCGGGGGUAGAGCACUGUUUCGGCUAGGGGGUCAUCCCGACUUACCAACCCGAUGCAAACUACGAAUACCGAAGAAUGUUAUCACGGGAGACACACGGCGGGUGCUAACGUCCGUCGUGAAGAGGGAAACAACCCAGACCGCCAGCUAAGGUCCCAAAGUCAUGGUUAAGUGGGAAACGAUGUGGGAAGGCACAGACAGCCAGGAUGUUGGCUUAGAAGCAGCCAUCAUUUAAAGAAAGCGUAAUAGCUCACUGGUCGAGUCGGCCUGCGCGGAAGAUGUAACGGGGCUAAACCAUGCACCGAAGCUGCGGCAGCGACACUAUGUGUUGUUGGGUAGGGGAGCG
Molecule: ribosomal RNA, 829 nt
Filed under: Klebsiella pneumoniae
Lineage: Bacteria; Pseudomonadati; Pseudomonadota; Gammaproteobacteria; Enterobacterales; Enterobacteriaceae
Description: partial 23S ribosomal RNA
Rfam family: Bacterial large subunit ribosomal RNA
Source: RNAcentral